GCGGCUUAAUGGGACAUUGUUAUUUUGAAAAGUGCGAUUUUGUAGAAGCUAUUCGCUGCUACGAAUUUUCUAACGCGAUGUAUAAUCGACCGGACGAUUUGCAUCUCGUACAAACGAGAAUGGGACUGUAUUACAAAGAUAUUGGCAAUUACGAGCGCGCGUUAAAAGUUUUCCUCAACGCAUGCCAGACUUCACCGACGGCAGAAACGUGGCUAGGUGCGGGAAUCGCUUUUUACGAGUUGCAGCGAUUUACGGAAGCGGAGGCAGCUUUAUCAGAAGCGAAUCAAAUCGACAAUCGUAACGUGACUGUUUGGAAGUACUUAUGUCUGUUAAAUAUGUCUUUGCAACGUCACGAUGAAUUCGUUCAGUGCCGGACACAGAUCGCUCAGGUGAAAUGUUAUUAACAAGAAGCGUUGAUUGAGGUUUUUGCUGUUUUUCAGUGAUAUGUUGUCGUUGUCUCGUAGGACGAUACGACUUUCUCUUUAGAAAAACGGUCCCUCAAACCGCGAGAUGGAAAACUGGUCAUGCUCUAAAUGCAGCCACGUAAUUACAUAUAAGCUUCUCCUCUCCUUAAUUCGGAGAUUCAGUCAGCUAUUCUACGACGAUCACGAUGAGAUUAUUGUGUACGCUAUUUAUACUCAGUCUGCUUCAAAUAGUGAUGUUUACUGCGAUGAUAAAUUGCGAUGAAUCAAGAAGCGUUAUACGUCACAAAAUUGGAAAAAAAGAUGAUGUUGAACGGGUCAAAAUAAAAGUUUUCCGUGGCCCUAUGCAAG
This is a non-coding RNA of Nylanderia fulva, 773 nucleotides long. The record is from RefSeq and is a predicted model, not a curated record. Lineage: Eukaryota; Metazoa; Arthropoda; Insecta; Hymenoptera; Formicidae.